Zea mays is the source of this 207-nucleotide RNA transcript. It is a transcript of the gene named isocitrate dehydrogenase [NADP] pseudogene, with no coding region annotated. The transcript is spliced from 3 exons. The record is from RefSeq and is marked validated. NCBI's taxonomy places the organism in Eukaryota, Viridiplantae, Streptophyta, Magnoliopsida, Poales, Poaceae.
CUAGAGGAAAAAUGCUUGGGUAAAGGAGUUUGGCUUGGAGGCUAUGUGGAAGAGCCCGAAUGGCACAAUUAGGAACAUUCUGAAUGGCACUGUGUUCAGAGAACCAAUCAUCUGCAAAAAUGUCCCAUAGAUUGUUGUAGAUAUGGAAGGAAGACCACAAUCAUAGGUGACUGCUAAUGCGUCAAGUGCCUACCCCAAGAAUAUAGA